This 31-nucleotide non-coding RNA is filed under the name Homo sapiens (human). Lineage: Eukaryota; Metazoa; Chordata; Mammalia; Primates; Hominidae. The record is from RNAcentral.
UCUAGGGUGAUGAACUUUCCUGCAGGAGGAC